This 308-nucleotide ribosomal RNA is filed under the name uncultured bacterium. RNAcentral describes it as "partial 16S ribosomal RNA". It matches the Rfam family "Bacterial small subunit ribosomal RNA", at positions 505 to 807 of the family's 1533-position model. The record is from RNAcentral.
GAGACAGCAGCCGCCACGGUAAUACGGAGGAUCCAAGCGUUAUCCGGAAUCAUUGGGUUUAAAGGGUCCGUAGGCGGUCUUGUAAGUCAGUGGUGAAAGCCCAUCGCUCAACGGUGGAACGGCCAUUGAUACUGCAGGACUUGAAUUAUUGGGAAGUAACUAGAAUAUGUAGUGUAGCGGUGAAAUGCUUAGAGAUUACAUGGAAUACCAAUUGCGAAGGCAGGUUACUACCAAUUGAUUGACGCUGAUGGACGAAAGCGUGGGUAGCGAACAGGAUUAGAUACCCCCGUAGUCCCUGUCUCUUAUAC